RNAcentral lists this ribosomal RNA (372 nucleotides) under uncultured bacterium. RNAcentral describes it as "bacterial SSU rRNA". It matches the Rfam family "Bacterial small subunit ribosomal RNA", at positions 525 to 896 of the family's 1533-position model. The record is from RNAcentral.
ACGGGGGGGCCAGCGUUGUUCGGAAUUACUGGGCGUAAAGGGCGCGUAGGCGGCCUUCUAAGUCAGACGUGAAAUCCCUCGGCUCAACCGAGGAACUGCGUCUGAUACUGGAGGGCUUGAAUCCGGGAGAGGGAUGCGGAAUUCCAGGUGUAGCGGUGAAAUGCGUAGAUAUCUGGAGGAACACCGGUGGCGAAGGCGGCAUCCUGGACCGGUAUUGACGCUGAGGCGCGAAAGCCAGGGGAGCAAACGGGAUUAGAUACCCCGGUAGUCCUGGCCCUAAACGAUGAAUGCUUGGUGUGGCGGGUAUCGAUCCCUGCCGUGCCGGAGCUAACGCGUUAAGCAUUCCGCCUGGGGAGUACGGUCGCAAGGCUG